GAUGAACGCUGGCGGCGUGCCUAAUACAUGCAAGUCGAGCGAACGGACGAGAAGCUUGCUUCUCUGAUGUUAGCGGCGGACGGGCGAGUAACACGUGGAUAACCUACCUAUAAGACUGGGAUAACUUCGGGAAACCGGAGCUAAUACCGGAUAAUAUUUUGAACCGCAUGGUUCAAAAGUGGAAGACGGUCUUGCUGUCACUUAUAGAUGGAUCCGCGCUGCAUUAGCUAGUUGGUAAGGUAACGGCUUACCAAGGCAACGAUGCAUAGCCGACCUGAGAGGGUGAUCGGCCACACUGGAACUGAGACACGGUCCAGACUCCUACGGGAGGCAGCAGUAGGGAAUCUUCCGCAAUGGGCGAAAGCCUGACGGAGCAACGCCGCGUGAGUGAUGAAGGUCUUCGGAUCGUAAAACUCUGUUAUUAGGGAAGAACAUAUGUGUAAGUAACUGUGCACAUCUUGACGGUACCUAAUCAGAAAGCCACGGCUAACUACGUG
RNAcentral lists this ribosomal RNA (497 nucleotides) under uncultured bacterium. RNAcentral's name for it is "partial 16S ribosomal RNA". It matches the Rfam family "Bacterial small subunit ribosomal RNA", at positions 28 to 507 of the family's 1533-position model. The record is from RNAcentral.